GAUAUAUAGUAUGAAUGUACCUUAAAUAAAGGAAUAAUUAUCUAUAUACCCUUUGUACGUUUAAAAAUAUCUUUUUUUCUAAAAUAUCUCUCAUAUAUUCUACCGUUAUUGUAAAAUACUCCCGCAGUUAUCUCCUGUUAAGUUAACUUGGGUUCAACGUGAGUUAAACAUCUACCACAGUUAAAAAAAACUAAAAUGCUAAUUUUGCCCUUAACUUAAGGACAAAUAAGAAAUAUUGGUGACGAUAGAGAGGUAUAUUGAAAAAGACCAAAUGUCAAAAUAUUUUUUGUGCCCCUGACUUUAAGGAUAAAUAAAAAAAUCAGUGAUGAUGGAAGGGUAUAUUUGAAAGGGCAAAAUAGUAAUUUUACAGAGAUAACAGAGUUUAUUAACAGAUUUUAACUCUAGGGCACCGUUUGGUUUGGGAAUAGGGAUAGGGAUAGGCCCUUAUCCCCCCCUUUAUACCCAAACGCUAAUUUUUUACUCGAGAAUAGUAGUUCUCGGUUAUCCCCACCAACACCUCCAUUUUCUAUAUAAAACUUUCUAAUAUUUUUCUUAUCCUCGGGAACAACCCAAUUUUCAUCCAAACGCUAUUUUUCUUAUCCUCAUACUUGUACCUAUCCCUGUAAUAGCUAGUUCUUGCUUAUACCCGAACCAAACGGUACCUAGGGGUAUAUUAGAAAUAGGUUGGAACGUAGAAAGGGUAUUUUCAAUGUUAGCCUUCUAAGAAGGGUAAAUUGAAAAGUCGAAAACUUUUCAGGAAUAUAUAAGUAAUUGCCCUUUAAAUAAAAUAUUAGGUGUAAAGUUAUUAUAUUUUUCCGAAGUAUAUAUAAAUAUGUUGGUACGUUUGUCUUUCUAAUAUUGGAUAAAAAAUUAUAGGAUUGAAAUAAUAAUAGUUCUUUUUAGAGUUUAGUGAUCAUUUUAAAAUUUAAUGGUUUUUCUAAAAAAUAAUAUUAAUUUUAAAACUAAAAAUGGUCAAAGAAUUAAUAGAAAGAUUAAAAUAUUGAAAGCAUCGCAUCAGU
Molecule: long non-coding RNA, 1019 nt
Filed under: Ananas comosus (pineapple)
Lineage: Eukaryota; Viridiplantae; Streptophyta; Magnoliopsida; Poales; Bromeliaceae
Description: long non-coding RNA (ACOM_LNC033599)
Source: RNAcentral